GGAUGUGAGGGUGACCUGGCUGCCACAUGUCACCCCCUGAUCGCCAGAGUCGAAUCGGCUGUGUGGUGGGCUAGGCAAGUGUCUCGGUCCUUCCUCACCGCUCCACCUGUGUCCCUCCUGAAGCUAAGCCUUCCCUGAUAGAGGAGGACCUUUCUUCGGUCAGGGGUACAGGAGUGACUGCGUUCCCCUGCCAGAACCCCCGCACAAGCCUUCACUGAUCUGUUCAUCCAUCCUCUCACCCAUUCAGCCAUCCAUCCACUUAACUACCACUUGGGAGGCAUCGCUCUGGU
RNAcentral lists this small nuclear RNA (290 nucleotides) under Ursus maritimus (polar bear). Its description in RNAcentral is "7SK RNA (ENSUMAG00000015382.1)". It matches the Rfam family "7SK RNA". Rfam says of the family: 7SK was discovered as an abundant small nuclear RNA in the mid-70s but a possible function has only recently been suggested. Two independent studies have found that 7SK RNA binds the CDK9/cyclin T complex (known as elongation factor P-TEFb). The record is from Rfam by way of RNAcentral. Lineage: Eukaryota; Metazoa; Chordata; Mammalia; Carnivora; Ursidae.